RNAcentral lists this ribosomal RNA (253 nucleotides) under uncultured bacterium. Its description in RNAcentral is "partial 16S ribosomal RNA". It matches the Rfam family "Bacterial small subunit ribosomal RNA", at positions 524 to 776 of the family's 1533-position model. The record is from RNAcentral.
GACAGAGGGGGCAAGCGUUGCUCGGAAUCACUGGGCGUAAAGGGCGCGUAGGCGGGCUGGCAAGUCGGUCGUGAAAUCUCUCGGCUCAACCGAGAAACGUCGGCCGAUACUGCCGUUCUUGAGGGAUGCAGAGGAGACUGGAAUUCCCGGUGUAGCGGUGAAAUGUGUAGAGAUCGGGAGGAACACCGGUGGCGAAGGCGGGUCUCUGGGCAUUUCCUGACGCUGAGGCGCGAAAGCGUGGGGAGCAAACGGG